This 282-nucleotide ribosomal RNA is filed under the name uncultured bacterium. Its description in RNAcentral is "partial 16S ribosomal RNA". It matches the Rfam family "Bacterial small subunit ribosomal RNA", at positions 773 to 1060 of the family's 1533-position model. The record is from RNAcentral.
GUGGAUUAGAUACCCUGGUAGUCCACGCCGUAAACGAUGGAUACUAGCUGUUCGGCCGCAAGGUUGAGUGGCUAAGCGAAAGUGAUAAGUAUCCCACCUGGGGAGUACGUUCGCAAGAAUGAAACUCAAAGGAAUUGACGGGGGCCCGCACAAGCGGUGGAGCAUGUGGUUUAAUUCGAUGAUACGCGAGGAACCUUACCAAGGCUUAAAUGUAGUUUGACAGAUUUGGAAACAGAUCUUUCUUCGGACAAAUUACAAGGUGCUGCAUGGUCGUCGCCAACU